AACGUAGGAGACGAACGUUAUCCGGAGUUACUGGGCGUAAAGGGCGUGCAGGCGGUCUGAUAAGUUCGGCGUGAAAUAUUCCGGCUUAACCGGGAUAGGUCGUCGGAGACUGUCGGACUAGAGGGUGAUAGAGGCGUGUGGAAUUCCGGGUGUAGUGGUGAAAUGCGUAGAGAUCCGGAGGAACACCAGUGGCGAAGGCGACACGCUGGGUCACACCUGACGCUGAGGCGCGAAGGCUAGGGGAGCGAACGGG
This 253-nucleotide ribosomal RNA is filed under the name uncultured bacterium. RNAcentral describes it as "partial 16S ribosomal RNA". It matches the Rfam family "Bacterial small subunit ribosomal RNA", at positions 524 to 776 of the family's 1533-position model. The record is from RNAcentral.